Peromyscus leucopus (white-footed mouse) is the source of this 2077-nucleotide long non-coding RNA. RefSeq lists it as uncharacterized. The record is from RefSeq and is a predicted model, not a curated record. The transcript has 6 exons. NCBI's taxonomy places the organism in Eukaryota, Metazoa, Chordata, Mammalia, Rodentia, Cricetidae.
UUUUAUUUUUAUUACUUUUCGACAAGGUCUUGCUAUUAAAGCCCACAAUUCCACUGUCCCCAUCUCCGGAGGGCUAGGAUUACAGAUGUACACUCUACAGUAUCCGGUUAUUAUCUGCUUUUACUGAGGUGAAAACUGGCCUCCAAAGAAGGAUUUGUGAGGUCAUUUUCAAGGUCACAGCAAAUUGGCAGUUUUAGGGUUUUAUGUCUGCCUCACUGGGAAGCCCAAGAUCUUAACCAACUUUCUAGAUGAACCAGAGUAGGAAAGGCCAUUGUAGCAGGCACAGGCAUACACAGAGUGGACGGUGGACUUCCAGCCAGUAGACUGUCACAGAGCAUGCAUAUGACAGGCUAAGAGUAGAAAGCCCUCAAGGUGGUGAAUAGUUGUAAUCCCAGAACUUAGGAGUCAGAGGCAGGGGGACCAUGUGCUUGAAACAGCUUGAGCUAUCUAACAACACUGUCUCAAAACAACCAGUGACAACAAAACAAUAACAAAACAACAACAAACGAACAACAACAAAAACCCAAACAAAUAAAAAGCUAACCAGACUGGUGAAAGAGAGACCCAGGCAAGCAAGCUGGUAGUUUUCGUGAGUCCUUGAAAGGGGUAGGCUAGAGCGUGAGGCUAUGGGAUUCUAGAACAGGAUUCUAGAACAGUCCAACGAGAAUGUUUUUAGAGAAUCCAUAGCUACUAAGAUGAAGCCCAGGCACAUACAAGCCACCUGAGAUUCAUACAACAAAUUCACGGCGACCAGAGAUCCUGCUCCCUCGUCUCUCCCAAGACCUGUUAACUUCCAGAAGUCUUCAAAGCCCUUUUGGGUCCAGUUUCUCGCUAUCUACCCAAUGGGCAGACAGGAUGAGGACUUCAGAAGAAAGUCAUGAGGGAAGGCAUCGUUUGGGUGGAGUCUUCUACAAAUUGACACCCUAUUCAUACCUCUGAUCCACUGCUGAGAGCAUCCUGCAGAACCAAGGCUCUACUGAUGUCACUCUGAGGAAGUCCCAAUUCAAAGUGACAGCGUUCUUCUCCAUGCUGCAUAGGGCUACAGGGAAAAAUGAGACCCAGCUUGGUCUCUGAUCCCGAGGUUCUCAAAUCAGCUCCUGGGAAGCAUCUUGCAUGUGGAAGACAGGUAACAGUUGACCAAGAGGUGGCAUAUCAUCAUGGAGAUGUCUAAGACACCGGUUUCCAGACUCAGCACAGAAGAUGUACUACACUAAGAGAAUUCUGUGCAGUGUUCACAUUGUGACUUACAGGAAGGCUCCACGCUGCCUAAGGAGAACCAGCAUCAGCAGGGUCCCUGUCACUAUGGCUACAAAGAAGCGUGGGGCCUGCCUGUCUGGGAGGUUUGAUGAGAUAGACACAUCCUGAGAGGCUUCUUCACACUUGGUCGAAGUGAACUUGCCAUGCUGGUAUCUCCUUGGUAAGCAUUGGCUCUGGCGCUGGUUCUGGUGCUUCCUGAAGAUGGGAUUUUUGUGGCAGGAAGUACAGGAAGGAUUCUGUCUCUCAGAGAUUCAUAUCACUCCAGGGAAAAUGGAAGCUUCUGAGAAGUCCUGCCCUGGGGAUAUUUGGCCAAAAACCAAAACCAAAACCAAAACCAAAACCAAGCAAAACACCCCAGUAGUUCCUAUGCAUAUUUGAACAUGAUGGCUUUUCACCCCAACUGCGUUGGGAAAUACUGAGUUACAUCAUACUUAUUUUUUCCCUGGAGUCCUGGAGAGCAAUUCAUAAUCCUCAAGAGUAUUUCUAGCUGGCACGGCUGAUGAGCUGUUGAUCUCCAGGCAAAGGCUUGGGCAACUGGCUUGGUCUUUCCAUGUCUUGCUUAUUAUUACUUGAGAACUGGGCAUAAGUAAUCCUUAUUCUGACAACCCUGCAGUGUUGUUGAGAUCAGACCUAUCUUGCUAUAUAACACCAGGGAAUUCCAUGUGAGGUCUACAAGACCUGGGUGAAGUUGAUGAAAUAGAAGUCAUAAAGGAAAACUCCCCAUGAACACAAAAGGACUGUGCAGAUGUGUGUGGCUACACUGUUUAAUGGUGCAUGUCAGAUGGAAUUAUUAAAGACAGAUAAAAAUCCUAUUUUCUCA